Long non-coding RNA from Strigops habroptila (Kakapo), 1233 nucleotides. RefSeq lists it as uncharacterized. The record is from RefSeq and is a predicted model, not a curated record. Lineage: Eukaryota; Metazoa; Chordata; Aves; Psittaciformes; Psittacidae. The transcript has 5 exons.
CAUUUUCAAAGAUCACCGCUUCCAAGUUCAAGAACGGUCCAUUUCUGUGAGCAGGAAAUCAAGCAAAGGCAGCAGGAGGUCUGCAUGAAUGACCAAGAUGCUCCUGACUAAAUUCAACCAUAGAGGAAACACAUGCAGGACAUGGAAGCAGAGUCAGUUGACCCAGGAGGAAAAUAGAGGCACUGUCCAAGCUUGCAGGGAUGGAGUUAGGAAAGCCAAAGCCCACCAGAGUUGAAUCUGAUGAAUGACAUGGAGGCUACCAGAAGGGUUUUUACAAGUACACCAGCACAGAAGGAAAGCAAGAGAAAACAUGGGCCCACUGCUGAAUACAGCCAGGGCCCUGGUGACAAAGGACAUGGAAAAGCCUGCUGCCCUCGGUAACAUUCUUUACCUCAGUCUUCACAGGUAAGACCAUCCUUUGGGAAUUCCAGGUCCUUGAGACCCCUGGGAAAGUCUGAAGCAAGGUAGACUCAACCUUUGUGGAAGAGGACCAGGUUAGGGAGCAUUUAAACAAAUUGGAUGUGCAGAAGUCCAUGGGACCUGACAGGCUGUACCCAUGAGUGCCAAGGGACCAGAUGAUGUCAUUGCAAGGCCACUAUUAUCUUUGAAAGAUCAUGGUGAUCAGGAGAGGUUCCUGAGAACUGGAGGAGAGUAAAUGUCACUUCUUUCUUCAAGAAGGAGGAUCCAGGAGACCACAGGCUAGUUAGCCUCACCACGAUCCAUGGGAAGAUAAAUGGAGAAAAAGUCCAGGAUGCCGGUAAGAACACAAUAAAAAAAAUCUGGUAGCAUAAGGAUGAGCUGAGACCAACUCUCAUUUGCACUCCAGUGUUCAUCUUUGGACAACACAAAAGAGACUCAGGAACAGAGCCCAAGUAUGCCUCUCUCAUCAUUUCCUGGGAAGCUUCUCUGGCAUCAGACUCUUUAUAAGCAGAAACAGGAAUUUUCUGUCUCUCAGAAUGCCGAGGGCUGAGGAUAAGCAGUUAAUCAAAAAGUCAUGCAGAAACUUCAGUAAAAAAUAAGGCUCCAGCUGUUGACUUGAUCUCUUGGACCAUCUUUCACAGGAUGACUCUUCAUCUAAGCUUCAAAGAUUGUGAACUACAUCAUUACCAGCCAGGACAAGAGGAAGCUUUCUGCCACACUGCAUGUCCAGUAGAAGGAACAGUUGCUGGUUCUUGUUGGGGAGAGGGUCAACCACUGCAGAUAAAAAUGGACUACUGUCUGUGCAGCCUCCAC